Molecule: long non-coding RNA, 379 nt
Organism: Tympanuchus pallidicinctus (lesser prairie-chicken)
Lineage: Eukaryota; Metazoa; Chordata; Aves; Galliformes; Phasianidae
Exons: 4
Source: RefSeq, a predicted model, not a curated record
UUGGGGGCAGAUGUGGGGGUUCCAUUUGGGGUCUCACUUUGGGGUCUCACUUUGGGGUCCCACUUUUAGGUCCCACUUUGGGGUCCCACUUUGGGCUCCCACUUUUAGGUCCCACUUUUAGGUCCACUUUGGGGUCCCACUUUGGGGUCCCACUUUUAGGUCCCACUUUUAGGUCCCACUUUUAGGUCCCACUUUGGGGUCCCACUUUUAGGUCCCACUUUUAGGUCCCACUUUGGGGUCCCACUUUUAGGUCCACUUUGGGGUCCCACUUUGGGGUCCCACUUUGAGGUCCCACUUUUAGGUCCCACUUUGGGCUCCCACUUUGGGGUCCCACUUUGGGUUCCCACUUCGGGGUCCCACUUUUAGGUCCCACUUUGGG